CUCAUAAAGCUCAUAUAAGUGAUGCCAUGCGCACCGCCGUACGUGAAGUUGCUUUUCAUUUUCCGACGGCCAUUAUCAGCGGAAGACAGAGAAAUAAGGUAUAUGAAUUUGUAAAGUUAAGGAAUGUGUAUUAUGCUGGAAGUCAUGGCAUGGAUAUAUCCACUCCAUUAGGCUCUUCAAAUAAUCAAAAUCAGAAGCAUCAAACAAAGGUUAUUGAUG
Non-coding RNA from Arachis ipaensis, 219 nucleotides. The record is from RefSeq and is a predicted model, not a curated record. NCBI's taxonomy places the organism in Eukaryota, Viridiplantae, Streptophyta, Magnoliopsida, Fabales, Fabaceae.